UGUGUACUCCCUUCGUCUGAAAAUACUUGUCGAAGAAAUGGAUGUAUCUAGACGUAUUUUAGUUCUUCAUACAUCUAUUUUUAUCUAUUUUUUUGACAAGUAUUUUCGGACGGAGGGAGUAAUAA
Molecule: non-coding RNA, 125 nt
Organism: Triticum aestivum (bread wheat)
Lineage: Eukaryota; Viridiplantae; Streptophyta; Magnoliopsida; Poales; Poaceae
Source: Rfam